AUUGAACGCUGGCGGCAGGCCUAACACAUGCAAGUCGAGCGGCAGCGGAAAGUAGCUUGCUACUUUGCCGGCGAGCGGCGGACGGGUGAGUAAUGUCUGGGAAACUGCCUGAUGGAGGGGGAUAACUACUGGAAACGGUAGCUAAUACCGCAUGACCUCGAAAGAGCAAAGUGGGGGAUCUUCGGACCUCACGCCAUCGGAUGUGCCCAGAUGGGAUUAGCUAGUAGGUGAGGUAAUGGCUCACCUAGGCGACGAUCCCUAGCUGGUCUGAGAGGAUGACCAGCCACACUGGAACUGAGACACGGUCCAGACUCCUACGGGAGGCAGCAGUGGGGAAUAUUGCACAAUGGGCGCAAGCCUGAUGCAGCCAUGCCGCGUGUGUGAAGAAGGCCUUAGGGUUGUAAAACACUUUCAGCGAGGAGGAAGGCAUCAUACUUAAUACGUGUGGUGAUUGACGUUACUCGCAGAAGAAGCACCGGCUAACUCCGUGCCAGCAGCCGCGGUAAUACGGAGGGUGCAAGCGUUAAUCGGAAUUACUGGGCGUAAAGCGCACGCAGGCGGUUUGUUAAGUCAGAUGUGAAAUCCCCGCGCUUAACGUGGGAACUGCAUUUGAAACUGGCAAGCUAGAGUCUUGUAGAGGGGGGUAGAAUUCCAGGUGUAGCGGUGAAAUGCGUAGAGAUCUGGAGGAAUACCGGUGGCGAAGGCGGCCCCCUGGACAAAGACUGACGCUCAGGUGCGAAAGCGUGGGGAGCAAACAGG
This 759-nucleotide ribosomal RNA is filed under the name uncultured Enterobacteriaceae bacterium. RNAcentral describes it as "bacterial SSU rRNA". It matches the Rfam family "Bacterial small subunit ribosomal RNA", at positions 28 to 776 of the family's 1533-position model. The record is from RNAcentral. Lineage: Bacteria; Pseudomonadati; Pseudomonadota; Gammaproteobacteria; Enterobacterales; Enterobacteriaceae.